CCCUUAGAUGUUCUGGGCCGCACGCGCGCUACACUGAUGCAUUCAACGAGUCUAAAACCUGGUCUGAUAGGGCUGGGUAAUCUUUUGAAUGUGCAUCGUGAUUGGGAUAGAUGAUUGCAAUUCUUCAUCUUCAACGAGGAAUGCCUAGUAAACGCAAGUCAUCAGCUUGCAUUGAUUACGUCCCUGCCCUUUGUACACACCGCCCGUCGCUCCUACCGAUUGAAUGUUUCGAUGAAUACCAUGGACUGAGAGUAUGAAUGGGUUCGCCUAUUUCUGCUUCUCGGGAAGUGGAGUAAAUCUUAACAUUUAGAGGAAGGAGAAGUCGUAACA
This 330-nucleotide ribosomal RNA is filed under the name uncultured eukaryote. RNAcentral describes it as "partial 18S ribosomal RNA". It matches the Rfam family "Eukaryotic small subunit ribosomal RNA", at positions 1470 to 1796 of the family's 1831-position model. The record is from RNAcentral.